Molecule: transfer RNA, 73 nt
Filed under: Julbernardia paniculata
Lineage: Eukaryota; Viridiplantae; Streptophyta; Magnoliopsida; Fabales; Fabaceae
Description: tRNA-Met
Source: RNAcentral
UGGUUCAAAUCCAAUAGUAGGUAGAGCUAGAACUUAUUCGAUACCAGAGUCAGUGAUAUCGAAUAAGUUUUUC